CUGUACCUUUUUUAAAAUAAAUCUACAUAGAGGAAAUGCAAGAGGGUCAUGGAACUAGUAACCUAUAGAAAAUGAAGGAAAAACUAUAGUAGGUAGAGAUGCUUGAAUGUUGCUCACAGAUAAUAAAUGAUACUGAUUUUCUUCCUACUCCUCACAACCAAGAGUAUGCAUGAAAUCCAGAAAGCUACCUUGCAUACUUUUGUUUUAUUUAUUUAUUUAUGUGUUUACUUAUUUAUUUAUUUUUGUUUUCUUGAUUUUAUAUUUUUAAAUAAAUGACAGUGGAAUGCAUUACAAUUCUUAUUACACAUAUAGAACACAAUUUUUAUAUCUUUGUAUAUAGAGUAUGUUCACACCAAUUCAUGCCAUUAUACAUGUACUUUUUUUGCAUUACAAUUCUUAUUACACAAAUAUACCACAAUUUUUUAUAUCUCUGUUUAUACAUAAAUUAUGUUGACACCCAAUUUGAUUCUUCAUACAUGUACUUGGAUAAUGAUGUCCAUCACAUUUCACCAUCCUUGCUAAUCCCCUGCUCCCUCCCUUUCCCUCCCACCCUUCUUCCCUAUGCGCCCCCUCUCUACCCCACUAUGAGUCAGCCUCCUUAUAUCAGAGAAAACAUUCAGCAUUGGUUUUUUGGGGAUUGGCUAACUUCACUUAGCAUUAUCUUCUCCAGCGCCAUCCAUUUACCUGCAAAUGCCUGAUUUUAUUCUCUUUUAUUGCUGAGUAAAAUUCCAUUGUGUAUAUAUGCCACAUUAUUUUAUCCAUUCAUCCACUGAAGGGUAUCUAGGUUGGCUCCACAGUUUAGCCAUUGUGAAUUGUGCUGCUAUGAACACUGAUGUGGCUGUGUCCCUGUAGUAUUCUGUUUUUAAGUCCUUUGGGUAUAGUCUGAGGAAAGGGAUAGCUGGGUCAAAUGGUGGUUCCAUUCCCAGAUUUCCAAGAAAAUUCCAUACUGCUUAGCAUAUUGGCUGUACCAAUUUGCAGUUCCACCAGCAAUGUAUGAGUGUACCUUUUUCCCCACAUCCUCACCAACACUUAUUGUUAUUUGUCUUUCUAAUAGCUGCCAUUCUGACCGGUAUGAGAUGAUAUCUUAGAGUAGUUUUGAUUUGCAUUUCUCUGAUUGCUGGAGAUGAUGAACAUUUUUUCAUUUAUUUGUUGAUUGAUCAUAUAUCCUCUUCUGAGAAGUGUCUGUUCAUGUCCUUGGCCCAUUUGUUGAUUGGGUUAUUUGGUUUCUGUUUGUUUGUUUGUUUUUUGUGGGUUUUUUUUUUUUUG
Molecule: long non-coding RNA, 1266 nt
Filed under: Marmota monax (woodchuck)
Lineage: Eukaryota; Metazoa; Chordata; Mammalia; Rodentia; Sciuridae
Source: RNAcentral